Molecule: long non-coding RNA, 481 nt
Filed under: Fukomys damarensis (Damara mole-rat)
Lineage: Eukaryota; Metazoa; Chordata; Mammalia; Rodentia; Bathyergidae
Description: lncRNA (ENSFDAG00000032675.1)
Source: RNAcentral
GGCCGGAAGGACCGCACACGUGGUUCUGUUCUGAUGUGAGGAUUUCAACCCAGGGAGCCUCAGUAAGGCCGGGAGACUGCCUCCCCAGGAACACUGGCUCCCUAAGGCGGCAGAGGACUCUACUGAGGUCUGAAUGUGUCCCAAGGCAGUGGCGUGAGGAGGUGGGUCUCCUCCUGUGAUGAGUUGGAUUAGUACCCUCGCGAAGGAGCGUUCACACAGUGUCUGCUCUGUUUCUCUGUCCCCUUCUACCAUGUGAAGCUGCAGAGGAGAGAGCAGCCUUGAGCACAUUUUGAACCUGAAGGCAUCUGUUUCUAUUGUCUGCACCCCAGCCCCCACAUUCUUGACGGAACUCAUAACCCGGUAAUAUCCUGCAGCAGGUCCUUUAUCACCUGGAGGAGUGCCCCAGACGCAGUGAAUUCAUCUGUAGUAGCUAAUCCCAGGCAGGCUCACUUUGCUUUGCCGGAAUCCAGGCUGCUGCUGU